GACUGGCUUACUGGCCUCAGUCCAUGCUGAAGAAAUACCUCUUUCUUUAUCCAACAGGUUACCUGAUGGUCCAAAGAAGAUCUCCAGCUAGAAAGAAAGGAGAGUGGGUCUUGUGUCUGCUUCUCUAGCUAAGACCUAGAAAGACUGUCUUACCUAAGUCACCUGCCAUUUCUUGACUGUGCAGGACAGUGAUGUCAGCUUCUGAGUUCCAUCUUUUUGGAGGAAACCUCUUGGGCCUCCAGUUCUCACUCUUCAGAUACAGAGGAUGUGAGUUGCACCCUGAGCCCUCUCGCUCUCAGCUGAGUGAAGCGUGCUUCGGGUCCUGGGGUGAAGGUUGCUGUAGAACAGUGAGUAGUCAGUGUUGUUCAAGCUUGGGCACCGUGAUCAGAAUAUCUGGGACCCAGCUCCAGUUCCUCUGUGAUCCAGUUCUGGAACCUCUCUCACGUGAGCUUGAAUAUCCUCUUAUGUAAAACAGAGUUACCCACAAGAACCUCACAGCAUGACCAGAGAAAUUAAAUACAGUAAUGCACAAAAGUACUCAGCAUAUUGCCUGGCACAUGGUACAUGUUCAACAAUGAAAAUGAUUUUUAUUUAUUGUUCCUCAAGUUUUCACAGGUAUUGAUUGCCCUUAGGCCAAGCAAGAGGGGGUCUCUGCUCUGUGCCUAUGCUUCAGAGGCUCCCAUACUUCACAAUCUCCAGAAGUAAUAAAUAUAUUAUAAGAACACA
RNAcentral lists this long non-coding RNA (726 nucleotides) under Felis catus (domestic cat). RNAcentral describes it as "lncRNA (ENSFCAG00000040730.2)". Lineage: Eukaryota; Metazoa; Chordata; Mammalia; Carnivora; Felidae. The record is from RNAcentral.